CAAAUCGGAAAUUCGAAAUGACGAAAGGUGUUGUCUUCUGCGCUGCAGUGCAGCUCUUCCUGGCCGCUUCCCUGCUACUCGCUCAUGCGGACGAGGGAACGGCCGAACGCGACGAGGGCGAGCUGGCAAGACGGUUCACUGGGGGCCACAUGAGCCCCCAGUUCCUGGCUGGUCACCACGAGGCGGAGAAGUCGACGGGCCAGCUUAAAGAAGAGCGAUGGUGCCCUUGGUCCCCUGCGUUGUGCUCCGCCGGUGGCCUGUUUGGGAAAAGGCAGGAACGGGCCGCCAAGAGCUUGAAGGAGGCUGACCAGAGCCCAGAAUAGUAGGGAAACCGCGAUCGACGACGACAAAAUUCACAGAACCGAAGCCUUCAUCCAGACAACCAGACAUCACUCCCAACGUGUGGCAAACGCCCGUUAUACCGAUUACUUCGAAAGCUAGAAGAUUCUCCACGUUACAAGAAUCCACAGCCAGAAACUAGUCAACAAAUCCAAAAGAGUCUUCCACGAAAGUUCUCAAGAAAUUACCAUGUUGUUGCAUUUAAUUAAUGGAACAGUAAACAUUAAUGCUCAAAGGAAAUUGAAUGUGAACUGCUUAUUUCUACUCCAUGAUAAUUAUAUUCGAAUUCCAAUACCAUAAGUUUAAUCCACAAGGCUAAACGCAACUCGACAUGCCUGUACAUUAGUGCAUUAGUACUCGCAAUAGGGUGUUUUUGAAAACAGAUUCAGCCUUCGUAAUAUAGAAUAUACUUCCAACUUUCUUUGAGCAUAACUUUAUUCCUUACAUAAGAUGCCCCGAAUUUCACGUAGUUUUCUUAGUCAUUUUGAUCUGCAAAUCGCUCCCUCUGUUUGUGUCUGUCAAUACAAACCAUAAAUAUAACUGGAAACAGUAUCUAUUGCAGCAAAUGUAGAAAAAAGUGAGGCAGUAUUGUAGCUGUCAAGUUGCUUAUAGCUUAUAUCCAGUUAAAAAAACAGUAAACACCAUUUUGUAACGAAUGGUGCUAUGGGUACCACUUCAUCUCGUGUUGUUCCUUUGAAAAGGAGAAUUAAAGUUAAAAAACAAGCA
This is a long non-coding RNA of Acanthaster planci (crown-of-thorns starfish), 1065 nucleotides long. The record is from RefSeq and is a predicted model, not a curated record. Lineage: Eukaryota; Metazoa; Echinodermata; Asteroidea; Valvatida; Acanthasteridae.